GUUAAGUCUGCCAUGUAUGUUGCUCUCUGUUGACGCUGCCCACCUACACCAGUCUGUUUUCACUGGAAGUGAGAGGAGUGGUUGAAGGGAAAAAAAGAGAUUCGGUGUUUGAAUAACUUCUUAUUUGGUGUGCUUUUACGACAAGACAUUUCAGGAUUAAACAGGGUGCCGUGGUGUACUGUAAGAAAGCAGUAUUUCAGCUCAGGGGUGAACAAGUGCUCGCUGGACUGCAUUGAGGGCCGCCACCUUUGUCACCCUGGACGAUGAGAACCAAGGAAUGAUGGGAGAAGACCCAGUGGGAAACCUGAACCGCUACGCCAAUUCCCUCCUCCACGGAAAAUGUUAUGACAGGCGGCGAAUCGCAUCUCUGCAUGUCUGUCAGACAUAUCAGUGUGGAUGACGGAUCACCAGCUCAAGCU
Salmo salar (Atlantic salmon) is the source of this 419-nucleotide non-coding RNA. The record is from RefSeq and is a predicted model, not a curated record. NCBI's taxonomy places the organism in Eukaryota, Metazoa, Chordata, Actinopteri, Salmoniformes, Salmonidae.